GCGGAAGAAGGCAGCGCCCAAGGCGCAUGCGCAGCGGUCACUCCCGCUGUAUAUUAAGGCGCCGGCGAUCGCGGCCUGAGGCUGCUCCCGGACAAGGGCAACGAGCGUUUCGUUUGGACUUCUCGACUUGAGUGCCCGUCUCCUUCGCCGCCGCCUCUGCAGAGUCCUCAGCGCAGUCUUUCCACAGGAGCCAGCAUACUUCUUGAACAUGGAGAGUGUUGUUCGCCGCUGCCCAUUCUUAUCCCGAGUCCCCCAGGCCUUUCUGCAGAAAGCAGGCAAAUCUCUGUUGUUCUAUGCCCAAAACUGCCCCAAGAUGAUGGAAGUUGGGGCCAAGCCAGCCCCUCGGGCAUUGUCCACUGCAGCAGUACACUACCAACAGAUCAAAGAAACCCCUCCGGCCAGUGAGAAAGACAAAACUGCUAAGGCCAAGGUCCAACAGACUCCUGAUGGAUCCCAGCAGAGCCCAGAUGGCACACAGCUUCCGUCUGGACACCCCUUGCCUGCCACAAGCCAGGGCACUGCAAGCAAAUGCCCUUUCCUGGCAGCACAGAUGAAUCAGAGAGGCAGCAGUGUCUUCUGCAAAGCCAGUCUUGAGCUUCAGGAGGAUGUGCAGGAAAUGAAUGCCGUGAGGAAAGAGGUUGCUGAAACCUCAGCAGGCCCCAGUGUGGUUAGUGUGAAAACCGAUGGAGGGGAUCCCAGUGGACUGCUGAAGAACUUCCAGGACAUCAUGCAAAAGCAAAGACCAGAAAGAGUGUCUCAUCUUCUUCAAGAUAACUUGCCAAAAUCUGUUUCCACUUUUCAGUAUGAUCGUUUCUUUGAGAAAAAAAUUGAUGAGAAAAAGAAUGACCACACCUAUCGAGUUUUUAAAACUGUGAACCGGCGAGCACACAUCUUCCCCAUGGCAGAUGACUAUUCAGACUCCCUCAUCACCAAAAAGCAAGUGUCAGUCUGGUGCAGUAAUGACUACCUAGGAAUGAGUCGCCACCCACGGGUGUGUGGGGCAGUUAUGGACACUUUGAAACAACAUGGUGCUGGGGCAGGUGGUACUAGAAAUAUUUCUGGAACUAGUAAAUUCCAUGUGGACUUAGAGCGGGAGCUGGCAGACCUCCAUGGGAAAGAUGCCGCACUCUUGUUUUCCUCGUGCUUUGUGGCCAAUGACUCAACCCUCUUCACCCUGGCUAAGAUGAUGCCAGGCUGUGAGAUUUACUCUGAUUCUGGGAACCAUGCCUCCAUGAUCCAAGGGAUUCGAAACAGCCGAGUGCCAAAGUACAUCUUCCGCCACAAUGACGUCAGCCAUCUCAGAGAACUGCUGCAAAGAUCUGACCCCUCAGUCCCCAAGAUUGUGGCAUUUGAAACUGUCCAUUCAAUGGAUGGGGCAGUGUGCCCACUGGAAGAGCUGUGUGAUGUGGCCCAUGAGUUUGGAGCAAUCACCUUCGUGGAUGAGGUCCACGCAGUGGGGCUUUAUGGGGCUCGAGGCGGAGGGAUUGGGGAUCGGGAUGGAGUCAUGCCAAAAAUGGACAUCAUUUCUGGAACACUUGGCAAAGCCUUUGGCUGUGUUGGAGGGUACAUCGCCAGCACGAGUUCUCUGAUUGACACCGUACGGUCCUAUGCUGCUGGCUUCAUCUUCACCACCUCUCUGCCACCCAUGCUGCUGGCUGGAGCCCUGGAGUCUGUGCGGAUCCUGAAGAGCGCUGAGGGACGGGUGCUUCGCCGCCAGCACCAGCGCAACGUCAAACUGAUGAGACAGAUGCUAAUGGAUGCCGGCCUCCCUGUUGUCCACUGCCCCAGCCACAUCAUCCCUGUGCGGGUAAUGGCCUGUCUCUGAUUGGACUUGCCGUGGGGUGUGCCUCUACACAUGAUGUACGGAUGUUCUGCUUCAUACCUUCCUGAAGUUGGGCUUGAGCGGGGUGACUGCCAGGGCAGGGGUUGUAGCCAGCCACCCUCUGUCAUGUUUCCGCCAUUGGCUGACUUCACCAAGAGAAGAAAGCCUUUGAACCCGGCAGGCUGGGGCAGAAGUUCCCUCUCCGGAGCACUGACCUUAACAGGGUUGCAGAUGCUGCUAAAAACACAGAAGUCUGUGAUGAACUAAUGAGCAGACAUAACAUUUACGUGCAAGCAAUCAAUUACCCUACGGUGCCCCGGGGAGAAGAGCUCCUACGGAUUGCCCCCACCCCUCACCACACACCCCAGAUGAUGAACUACUUCCUUGAGAAUCUGCUAGUCACGUGGAAGCAAGUGGGGCUGGAACUGAAGCCUCAUUCCUCAGCUGAGUGCAACUUCUGCAGGAGGCCACUGCAUUUUGAAGUGAUGAGUGAAAGAGAGAAGUCCUAUUUCUCAGGCUUGAGCAAGUUGGUAUCUGCUCAGGCCUGAGCAUGACCUCAAUUAUUUCACUUAACCCCAGGCCAUUAUCAUAUCCAGAUAGUCUUCAGAGUUGUCUUUAUAUGUGAAUUAAGUUAUAUUAAAUUUUAAUCUAUAGUAAAAACAUAGUCCUGGAAAUAAA
Pan troglodytes (chimpanzee) is the source of this 2500-nucleotide RNA transcript. It is a transcript of the gene named 5'-aminolevulinate synthase 1, with no coding region annotated. NCBI's taxonomy places the organism in Eukaryota, Metazoa, Chordata, Mammalia, Primates, Hominidae. The record is from RefSeq and is a predicted model, not a curated record. The transcript is spliced from 11 exons.